CCCGCUCCUCAUUUCUGGGGCCUUCCGCCCACCCCGCCCCGCUCCCGGGCGGCUUCCGCUCUCCGGCUCCUUUACAGGGCCCACCCGCUCGCCUUCCGGCCCCAGGCCCCACCCGCGGUUAGACACCAGCCGCCCGGCUUCCCGCGGCACCAGACUUCUGCUCGCCGUUCUCACAAAAUACAACUAGCAGGCGCCGCGAACGCGCCCCAGGUGACGUCAUCGCGCCGGGCCCAGGGGUCACGUGAUUCCGCGCGCGGCCUUCGGCGGACUGCGUGGUGACGUAGGCGCGGGCGUGCGCGGCAGAAGCCAUGGCUGGUGGAUGAGGCGUGUUUGUGCGGUCGCGGACCGCUGCCGGGCAGCGUCGUCAUCCGAGGCCAUCGAGGGCCCCAGGUGGUACCUGCGCUCUGCUGAGGCCAGGGAAAACCGAGCCUACUUCUGUGUCUUGGCCUACAGUUCCGAAGUGUUUUCUGAACGUAAAGUCCACACCUAGAAGAAUGUGGAAGAAAAGGCCGUUUUGUGAAUGAUAUGAUGAUAGAGAGGUUUCUCUGGUCGCCUAAGUGUAGGAAGCUCAGCUCUAGAAUUACACGGUCGUAGGGAGUAAAAUUCGCUCCCCUCGUCCCAACUGCUUGAUAAGGCUUCCUCUGCUCAGGCUCCUUCCACCUGUCGGAGUCACCUGUGCCCGUGCGCUCCUGGAAUAAACCCAAGUGAAGGCUUCCAGUGGACGCGGAUCCCUUCAGUCCAACUGCAGAGGCUGAGCACACCAGCCUCCACGCGGCUGCGUCUGGGGACACUUGCCCAUGAGUCUCGAGUUUCUGCAGUCCUCGGAGCGAGGUGCCGGCUGCCCUUUUGCCCAGAUUGCCUUUUCAAGGAUCUUCAAGUAGCAGACAGCCUCGAGAUGUGUGAGGUAGCGCCUCCCUCCAGAGCAGAAAGCAGCAUCUGUGAAACUGGAGUUUGUCUGCUGUCGGAUGGGAGCUAAAUCAGACCCUUACCUCCCCCAGCAGACUCUGCUCUGCGUCCCUGCCCUAGCGCAUAACAGGAAGUGCCUGCCAUCCCCCAGUGUUUCAGAAAGCCCAGGAUGCUAGAACUAGAAGAGACCUGAGAGAGGAUCCCUUUGGUGGCUGUCAGGCUGUCCAUGGAAUCUGCAGUGGUGUGGGCGCUGUAUCUGCCUCCAGAACAAGAAUCCUCGCUGUGCGGCUGACCCCGUGGCUGAGUGGUUAAGUUCGUGCUCUCCACUGCAGGCAGCCCAGUGUUUCGUUGGUUCGAAUCCUGGGCGUGAACAUGGCACUGCUCAUCAAACCACGCUGAGGCAGCGUCCCACAUGCCACAACUAGAAGGACCCACAACGAAGAAUAUACAACUAUGUACCGGGGGGGUUUUGGGGAGAAAAAAGGAAAAAUAAAAUCUUUAAAAAAAAUAAUAAUUAAAAAAAAAAAAGAAUCCUCGCUGUGCAUCAGGACCCAGGUCUCUCUGACAUCUCCUGAAUAAGGAGAAAGACAUAUUUAAUAAACAGUUUUAAAUGUG
This 1521-nucleotide long non-coding RNA is filed under the name Equus caballus (horse). Its description in RNAcentral is "lncRNA (ENSECAG00000059556.1)". Lineage: Eukaryota; Metazoa; Chordata; Mammalia; Perissodactyla; Equidae. The record is from RNAcentral.